Molecule: non-coding RNA, 21 nt
Filed under: Caenorhabditis elegans
Lineage: Eukaryota; Metazoa; Nematoda; Chromadorea; Rhabditida; Rhabditidae
Source: RNAcentral
UAUGAUCCACUUUUUAUUUUC